CCAGAAAGGGACGGCUAANUACGUGCCAGCAGCCGCGGUAAUACGUAGGUCCCGAGCGUUGUCCGGAUUUAUUGGGCGUAAAGCGAGCGCAGGCGGUUAGAUAAGUNUGAAGUUAAAGGCUGUGGCUUAACCAUAGUACGCUUUGGAAACUGUUUAACUUGAGUGCAGAAGGGGAGAGUGGAAUUCCAUGUGUAGCGGUGAAAUGCGUAGAUAUAUGGAGGAACACCGGUGGCGAAAGCGGCUCUCUGGUCUGUAACUGACGCUGAGGCUCGAAAGCGUGGGGAGCGAACAGGAUUAGAUACCCUGGUAGUCCACGCCGUAAACGAUGAGUGCUAGGCGUUAGGCCCCUUCCGGGGCUUAGUGCCGCAGCUAACGCAUUAAGCACUCCGCCUGGGGAGUACGACCGCAAGGUUGAAACUCAAAGGAAUUGACGGGGGCCCGCACAAGCGGUGGAGCAUGUGGUUUAAUUCGAAGCAACACGAAGAACCUUACCAGGUCUUGACAUCCCGAUGCCCGCUCUAGAGAUAGAGUUUUACUUCGGUACAUCGGUGACAGGUGGUGCAUGGUUGUCGUCAGCUCGUGUCGUGAGAUGUUGGGUUAAGUCCCGCAACGAGCGCAACCCUUAUUGUUAGUUGCCAUCAUUCAGUUGGGCACUCUAGCGAGACUGCCGGUAAUAAACCGGAGGAAGGUGGGGAUGACGUCAAAUCAUCAUGCCCCUUAUGACCUGGGCUACACACGUGCUACAAUGGCUGGUACAACGAGUCGCAAGUCGGUGACGGCAAGCUAAUCUCUUAAAGCCAGUCUCAGUUCGGAUUGUAGGCUGCAACUCGCCUACAUGAAGUCGGAAUCGCUAGUAAUCGCGGAUCAGCACGCCGCGGUGAAUACGUUCCCGGGCCUUGUACACACCGCCCGUCACACCACGAGAGUUUGUAACACCCGAAGUCGGUGAGGUAACCUUUUA
RNAcentral lists this ribosomal RNA (961 nucleotides) under uncultured bacterium. RNAcentral's name for it is "bacterial SSU rRNA". It matches the Rfam family "Bacterial small subunit ribosomal RNA", at positions 483 to 1444 of the family's 1533-position model. The record is from RNAcentral.